ACUAAUUAGGAAUCAUCAUUCAACUGCAGCAGAGCGCCGAUUAAAAUCUAAAGCUAGACAGUUCUCAUCUGAUUUGGACGAAUCGUCUCCUAUAGAUAGCAUAGAAAACAUUGAGGAAUUUGAAGAUGACGACGACAGAUCAAUCACGGAAGACGAGAUAUAUGACAUCACAGUUGGUGACGUAUCACGUGACGUUUUACUUACAUUAAGAGAUCAUGCACAAUCGUAAAACAGCUGGUUGCAAGUGAGAAGGCAAAACUAUCAGAACAGAUUGAUGCAUUCAACAACCUUGUUGAUGGGGACUCUGCAGGAGAUAGCCUUGCUGGAUAUAUGAAACCUGCAGAACACCUAAAAACUUUACCAAAGAGCGUUGAAAAUAAAACUGGAGGCUACGGAAUGCCCGUUGUACCCAGAAGGAUUUUAAUUCAUUAUAAAAUCAGUUAAAAUACUUAAGACAAACCGACUUAUACUAUCAUUUUGUAUACGUUAAACAUAAACAAACGUAACAGGUAACAAAUUUUUGCCGAAAGAUUAUGAAAAAAUGUUUAAUUUUAACGUAAUAUUUGCUCUCAAUAUUCUGCUUAUCUCAGGGAAACAAUUCCAAUUCUUAUAUUUUGUGCAUCUUGUCACUUAAAAAACAUUUUAAUUUAUAUGUUUGGAAUAUUUUUGUAUUGGAUUUGAAAAUAAAAAAAUGCUGAUAUUGAAAACAAAAAUAGUUAGACGAGCAAUUUAAACACAAAUGUGCAGAAUUUGCAUAUUUAACGUUAAAUGAGCAGUACUUGUUUUUCAAAUUAAUGAAAAAAAUCCUAUUGCAUGCUAACGCUUUAAUCACAUCAUCUUAUCCACGAAUACAAAAAAACGGCGUUUCUCUCAUCAUUUUAUCGUGUAGCUUCAAUAUUACUCUUCGAGCUUUUGUCACUUCUAUUUUUAUUGCAAUUGAAAUAAUGUAGUAUUAAUCAAAAGAUAUUUCAUACCAGAAAAUUAUGUUCGUAUAAUCGAAAGCUAUAAAAAUAUGACGUGUAUAAAUUGCUGUAUUUUCAUUCCUUGCUUCAUUGAUAAGAUACAUAUGGUAACAUAAUCAAAUGUAUUUUACUGGGGCAGGUGGUGAUCUUUAAUAAAAAUGAUAAGGUAAUUUUCAUAGAAAACAUCGUUUCUUAUUUUUCUUGAAGGGACGUGUUUUAAUAGACUA
Molecule: long non-coding RNA, 1189 nt
Organism: Ruditapes philippinarum (Manila clam)
Lineage: Eukaryota; Metazoa; Mollusca; Bivalvia; Venerida; Veneridae
Exons: 3
Source: RefSeq, a predicted model, not a curated record